Molecule: long non-coding RNA, 1374 nt
Filed under: Zea mays
Lineage: Eukaryota; Viridiplantae; Streptophyta; Magnoliopsida; Poales; Poaceae
Description: long non-coding RNA (ZMAY_LNC002649)
Source: RNAcentral
CUAUUCUCUACAAAGGCUCAAGCAUAAUCUUAUAUGGUCAGUCCCAGACAAUACCGAGUGGCACAAUUGUGGAGUUAUGGUCGUUGGACUCGGAGGCCCAGCAGUCUUCCCAGCCAUCUCAUCAUCCACAAACUCAGUCGUUGCUGUUACAGUUUGCUUCUGUGUCACGGACUCCUUUUGAGGAUAUGGCAAAUGAGUCGACAACAUGGAAGGAAAUCAAGAUCGUCUCUUCUCCUACAAGCAGGAAGCAACCGGUACACGAGAUCAACAUGAGCAGCACGAAGAAACAAGGACCUGGUUCGGGUGAAAGAAGCAGAGAAGGGAUGAGUGCUUCAAAAGCAAGAGCUGAACCAGUGUCCAUUCAUGGCAGUAGAGCAAAAGCAUCAUCAAUUCUUAUGCAAUGGGCACAAGUUUGUGUCAGGUCAAUUCUGUUGCUAGUGAGCCAAGGCAAUUUCUCAGUUUUUAUUUGGGAUCCUAGGGGUCAUGCGAAGAACAGCUUGGGAACAAGCUGUAUUUCAAGGAGUGGGGAAUGUUAGCAACAAUACAAGAAAGACGUCAGAAGCUCACCAGCACUGAAGAUGGAGCACUGAAGAUGGAAAAGCUGACCAACAAUAUUGACGGUGUCACACCAACGAAGCGGUAGAGGCGAGGCAACACAUGAGUAUUUGGGCCCGAAUGGGUCGUGUAUUUGGUCGGACUGGUCGGUAGUUUAUAAGCUCUCUCUAGUAUUGUAAGAAGGUAUCGAAGAAUUAAUGAAUAGACAAAGACGCUGGUUCUCAGCCUCGUCUUCCUCCCUGCUUUCCUCGUUUCCAAGUCUUCUUCCCCAAUCCUCACUCCUUCCUGCUCUCUUCUAGAAGCUUCCCACUACCGACGCUAACAUUUGGUAUCAGAUUAGGUCGUCCUGAAUUCGUUCUCCCGAGGCGCCCCCGAUUGUCCGCGAUGGAUCAUCAAGAUGCUACCGUCCUCAAGCUGCUUGAUGCAAUGGUACUGAUGGAGCAGCGCUUAAUAGCUGCUCUGGCUGGCCGUAAUGGCGAGCAGGCCGACGCGGAAAAGCUGACCAACAAUACUGACGGUGUGUCGGUGUCACACCGACGAAGCGGUAGAGGCGAGGCAACACAUGAGUAUUUGGGCCCGAAUGGGUCGUGUAUUUGGCCGGACUGGUCAGUAGUUUAUAAGCUCUCUCUAGUAUUGUAAGAAGGUAUCGAAGAAUUAAUGAACAGACAAAGACGCUGGUUCUCAACCUCGUCUUCCUCCCUGCUUUCCUCGUUUCCAAGUCUUCUUCCCCAAUCCUCACUCCUUCCUGCUCUCUUCUAGAAGCUUCCCACUACCGACGCUAACAAGCACGAGCUGCUCAAGGAGGCGCUCGACGGCCUC